UGUUGGGUUAAGUCCCGCAACGAGCGCAACCCCUAUCUUUAGUUGCCAUCAUUGAGUUGGGCACUCUAAAGAGACUGCCGGUGUCAAACCGGAGGAAGGUGGGGAUGACGUCAAGUCCUCAUGGCCUUUAUGACCAGGGCUACACACGUACUACAAUGGCCGGUACAAAGGGCAGCGACACAGCGAUGUGAAGCGAAUCCCGAAAAGCCGGUCUCAGUCCGGAUUGGAGUCUGCAACUCGACUCCAUGAAGUUGGAAUCGCUAGUAAUCGCGGAUCAGCACGCCGCGGUGAAUACGUUCCCGGGCCUU
Molecule: ribosomal RNA, 308 nt
Filed under: uncultured Desulfocapsa sp.
Lineage: Bacteria; Pseudomonadati; Thermodesulfobacteriota; Desulfobulbia; Desulfobulbales; Desulfocapsaceae
Description: bacterial SSU rRNA
Rfam family: Bacterial small subunit ribosomal RNA
Source: RNAcentral